CGGUCGCGUAACACGUGGGCAACCUGCCCUGAAGCGGGGGACAACAAUCCGAAAGGGCUGCUAAUACCGCAUGUGAACUUUUGUGGCAUCACGAAACGUUCAAAGCUUUAUGCACUUCAGGAUGGGCCCGCGGCCUAUCAGCUUGUUGGUGGGGUAACGGCCUACCAAGGCUUCGACGGGUAGCUGGUCUGAGAGGACGAUCAGCCGGAUUGGGACUGAGAUACGGCCCAG
RNAcentral lists this ribosomal RNA (231 nucleotides) under uncultured bacterium. RNAcentral describes it as "partial 16S ribosomal RNA". It matches the Rfam family "Bacterial small subunit ribosomal RNA", at positions 103 to 334 of the family's 1533-position model. The record is from RNAcentral.